Molecule: long non-coding RNA, 1446 nt
Organism: Aegilops tauschii subsp. strangulata
Lineage: Eukaryota; Viridiplantae; Streptophyta; Magnoliopsida; Poales; Poaceae
Source: RefSeq, a predicted model, not a curated record
GGCGGCGCCUUCCUCCCUUUCCAGCGACGGCAGCGACGGCGGAGCACGAGCAGGUGAGGGCGGCACCUUCGUCGGACGGCUAGCCGCGGCGGAGGAGAAGGCGGACGCCAUGGGUGCGGCUACAGACGAGGCGAAGGAGAAGGCGGACGCCGUGGGCUUGCUGCACGGCUACAGCCGAGGCGGAGGAGAAGGCGGACGCCGUGGGCGUUCAUGGAGGAUGGUACGCCGGCCGCCGGCUCCGGCCGCCAGUCCUCUCUGGCCUCCUCCGUGGUAUCCUUCUCAACCUCCGCUGCUCCUAUCGUGAUUUGGAUGGAAAAUUGGAGGCCGGCCGUGUCCUUCUCCAACACAAAUUGAUGUAGUGCCCGACCCGGAUUUGAUUGGCUGCUAUAAGAAGCAAGGGUCCUCGGCCGGAAUCUCCGUCAGGUUUUGCCCUUCGACCAUAAUCUCCAUCAUCCUGUCCAAAUUGCAAUUUUUGAACAAACAUCCAAUGUCGCCGCCAAGUUCGCCGGAGGAAGAAGCGCCGAGUUCGCCGGAGGAACAAGCGCCGAGUUCGCCGGAGGAAUAAGAACGCCCGCCGAGUCCUGUGGUGGCUACACGAGAGGCCCUUAAGAUGAGUGAUGAACAUCCGUUGAGCCGUCCAAUGUUGCCUUUGGCAACUACACCAGAGCCGUCGUCUCCUUUGACUUCACCGCCAUCGUCUCACAAAGUUCUAAGGUCAAUUCUCUAAUGAGAACAGACUGUCCACAAGGGCCAUCAAGCCAACUAUAUGGAAGGACCCAGUCCCACAUUCCCGCUCGUCGACUUCGCCGCAAGACAAUCUGCUACCGCCUCCGCCGAUUUUGCCGGAAGACCAUCAGCCGUCGCCUAGACCUACUUUGGUUCAGAAAAUAGAUGACAACACUGUAACUUAAUAUUACACAGAACAUUGAAGAGGACUUUGAUAACCGACCUUCAAAAACAGCAAAAAUUUCUGAAUCAAGUGUUCUGGAGCCAUCACCUAUGUCAUCAACUAUGUCAACAUGUACUCCAGUUUCUGAGUGUUUUGAAUCGAUUGUGCCAAAAUCAGAUAAUUAGAUAGAUCGUGGUCCAUUGCCAUCACCUCCAUCCCCAUCUAGCUCGACAUUACCAUCACCUCCAUCCCCAUCUAGCUCGACAUUAUCUCAAGAACAUCGGUCGAGCCGUACAAAUGGCGCCUGCAGCGGCUACACCAGAGGUAUUUAUCCCCUGAUGAAAGCUAAUCACUGGAUGUAAUCCCCUGUUUUGGUUGUUGUUUCUGGCCUGGUUAUACAGGCAGUUUUCAACAGCAGCAGGCUAGCAUGCCCAGUCUGAACUUUUAGAAUGUUUUCCCAGUUCAUGUUCAACUUUGAUCCUUUUUCCAGUUAAAGUUCCAAGGAACUUUCCUGUGUGAAUCUGAGAAUCUCACUGAAACUUGUGUUUCAUUGUGUA